GAGCGGUGGUGGACGGCUGACCGAAAGGAGGAAAGUCCCUCCACCCGUUAAGGUGGGCUCCGUAAGGAGCAUUCCCGAGAGGGAAUCGGGUGGAACAGAAAGUCCCCGGCAGGAGGAAAUGCGAUGAAGCUGAAAAGCUUAGGUCACUCCUGCUGGUUGAAAAUGGCCACCCGCCACCGGGUGCAAGGCUUAAUGCCGCUUAGACUGAUGCCGUCGGAACAGAAGAGGGCUUACUACCACCACUC
This 245-nucleotide RNase P RNA is filed under the name Archaeoglobus fulgidus. RNAcentral describes it as "RNase P RNA component". It matches the Rfam family "Archaeal RNase P". Rfam says of the family: Ribonuclease P (RNase P) is a ubiquitous endoribonuclease, found in archaea, bacteria and eukarya as well as chloroplasts and mitochondria. Its best characterised activity is the generation of mature 5'-ends of tRNAs by cleaving the 5'-leader elements of precursor-tRNAs. The record is from RNAcentral. Lineage: Archaea; Methanobacteriati; Methanobacteriota; Archaeoglobi; Archaeoglobales; Archaeoglobaceae.